RNAcentral lists this transfer RNA (86 nucleotides) under Candidatus Eiseniibacteriota bacterium. RNAcentral's name for it is "tRNA-Ser". It matches the Rfam family "tRNA". Rfam says of the family: Transfer RNA (tRNA) molecules are approximately 80 nucleotides in length. Their secondary structure includes four short double-helical elements and three loops (D, anti-codon, and T loops). The record is from RNAcentral. Lineage: Bacteria; Candidatus Eiseniibacteriota.
GGAGGGUUGGCCGAGUGGUUUAAGGCGGCGGUCUUGAAAACCGUUUGGCGAAAGCCACGUGGGUUCGAAUCCUACACCCUCCGCCA